RNAcentral lists this ribosomal RNA (1204 nucleotides) under metagenome. RNAcentral's name for it is "bacterial LSU rRNA". It matches the Rfam family "Bacterial large subunit ribosomal RNA", at positions 1598 to 2810 of the family's 2925-position model. The record is from RNAcentral.
CGUCAUACUUCCAAGAAAAGCUUGCAAUGUCAUAAACAAAUAAUGCCUGUACCAUAACCGACACAGGUGGGUAGGUAGAGUAUACUAAGGGGCGCGAGAUAACUCUCUCUAAGGAACUCGGCAAAAUGACUCCGUAACUUCGGGAGAAGGAGUGCCUUAUUUUUAUAAGGUUGCAAUAACAAGAUCCAAGCAACUGUUUACCAAAAACACAGGUCUCCGCUAAGUCGUAAGACGAUGUAUGGGGGCUGACGCCUGCCCAGUGCCAGAAGGUUAAAGAAGUUGGUUAGCAUUAGCGAAGCUGAUAACUGAAGCCCUGGUGAACGGCGGCCGUAACUAUAACGGUCCUAAGGUAGCGAAAUUCCUUGUCGGGUAAGUUCCGACCCGCACGAAAGGCGUAAUGAUUUGGAUACUGUCUCGGAGAGGGGCUCGGUGAAAUAGACUUGUCUGUGAAGAUGCGGACUACCUGCACCUGGACAGAAAGACCCUAUGAAGCUUUACUGUAACUUGAGAUUGAAAUUGGACUUUAUCUGCGCAGUAUAGGUGGGAGACGUUGAAAAUAUUCUUGCGGGAAUAUUGUAGUCAUCAGUGAGAUACCACUCUUAUAAUGUUAGAUUUCUAACUUUGUAUCAUUAUCUGGUCAAAGAACAGUUUCAGGCGGGCAGUUUGACUGGGGCGGUCGCCUCCCAAACGGUAACGGAGGCGCACAAAGGUUUCCUCUGAACGUGUAGAAAUCGUAUCUAGAGUGUAAAGGCAUAAGGAAGCUUGACUGUGAGACCUACAAGUCGAGCAGGGACGAAAGUCGGUCUUAGUGAUCUGACGGUGCUGAGUGGAAAGGCCGUCACUCAACGGAUAAAAGUUACUCUAGGAUAACAGGCUGAUCUCCCCCAAGAGUUCACAUCGACGGGGAGGUUUGGCACCUCGAUGUCGGCUCAUCGCAUCCUGGGGCGGUAGUACGUCCCAAGGGUUGGGCUGUUCGCCCAUGAAAGCGGUACGCGAGCUGGGUUCAGAACGUCGUGAGACAGUUCGGUCCAUAUCCGGUGUAGGCGUUAGAAUAUUGAGAGGAGCCUUCUUUAGUACGAGAGGACCGAGAAGGACAUACCUCUGGUGUACCAGUUAUCGUGCCAACGGUAAACGCUGGGUAGCCAUGUAUGGAGAGGAUAACCGCUGAAAGCAUCUAAGUGGGAAGCCCACCUCAAGAUAAGUA